UACGUAGGCAGCAAGCGUUGUUCGGAGUUACUGGGCGUAAAGGGUGUGUAGGCGGUUCCUUAAGUUUGGUGUGAAAUCUCCCGGCUUAACCGGGAGGGUGCGCCGAAUACUGAGGGACUAGAGUACGGGAGAGGAAAGUGGAAUUGCUGGUGUAGCGGUGAAAUGCGUAGAUAUCAGGAGGAACACCGGUGGUGUAGACGGCUUUCUGGACCGUAACUGACGCUGAGACACGAAAGCGUGGGUAGCAAACAGG
This 253-nucleotide ribosomal RNA is filed under the name uncultured bacterium. RNAcentral's name for it is "partial 16S ribosomal RNA". It matches the Rfam family "Bacterial small subunit ribosomal RNA", at positions 524 to 776 of the family's 1533-position model. The record is from RNAcentral.